GACGAACGCUGGCGGCGUGCCUAAUACAUGCAAGUUGAGCGCUGAAGGUUGGUACUUGUACCAACUGGAUGAGUAGCGAACGGGUGAGUAACGCGUGGGGAAUCUGCCUUUGAGCGGGGGACAACAUUUGGAAACGAAUGCUAAUACCGCAUAAAAACUUUAAACACAAGUUUUAAGUUUGAAAGAUGCAAUUGCGUCACUCAAAGAUGAUCCCGCGUUGUAUUAGCUAGUUGGUGAGGUAAAGGCUCACCAAGGCGAUGAUACAUAGCCGACCUGAGAGGGUGAUCGGCCACAUUGGGACUGAGACACGGCCCAAACUCCUACGGGAGGCAGCAGUAGGGAAUCUUCGGCAAUGGACGAAAGUCUGACCGGGCAACGCCGCGUGAGUGAAGAAGGUUUUCGGAUCGUAAAACUCUGUUGGUAGAGAAGAACGUUGGUGAGAGUGGAAAGCUCAUCAAGUGACGGUAACUACCCAGAAAGGGACGGCUAACUACGUG
This 497-nucleotide ribosomal RNA is filed under the name uncultured bacterium. Its description in RNAcentral is "partial 16S ribosomal RNA". It matches the Rfam family "Bacterial small subunit ribosomal RNA", at positions 28 to 507 of the family's 1533-position model. The record is from RNAcentral.